Colobus angolensis palliatus is the source of this 156-nucleotide small nuclear RNA. Its record names the gene U1. It matches the Rfam family "U1 spliceosomal RNA". Rfam says of the family: U1 is a small nuclear RNA (snRNA) component of the spliceosome (involved in pre-mRNA splicing). The record is from Ensembl. NCBI's taxonomy places the organism in Eukaryota, Metazoa, Chordata, Mammalia, Primates, Cercopithecidae.
AUACGUACCUGGCAGAGAAGAUAACGUCCUGAAGGUGGUUUUGCUAGAACGAGGCUUUUCCACUGCACUCCCCACGUGCUGAUCCUCGCGUUUUCUCCAACUGUGAGAAAUUCGACUGCGUACCUUGUGUUAGUGGGGGACUGCGCAGGGCCCUUC